Molecule: ribosomal RNA, 988 nt
Filed under: Escherichia coli
Lineage: Bacteria; Pseudomonadati; Pseudomonadota; Gammaproteobacteria; Enterobacterales; Enterobacteriaceae
Description: partial 23S ribosomal RNA
Rfam family: Bacterial large subunit ribosomal RNA
Source: RNAcentral
GUCCUAAGGUAGCGAAAUUCCUUGUCGGGUAAGUUCCGACCUGCACGAAUGGCGUAAUGAUGGCCAGGCUGUCUCCACCCGAGACUCAGUGAAAUUGAACUCGCUGUGAAGAUGCAGUGUACCCGCGGCAAGACGGAAAGACCCCGUGAACCUUUACUAUAGCUUGACACUGAACAUUGAGCCUUGAUGUGUAGGAUAGGUGGGAGGCUUAGAAGUGUGGACGCCAGUCUGCAUGGAGCCGACCUUGAAAUACCACCCUUUAAUGUUUGAUGUUCUAACGUUGACCCGUAAUCCGGGUUGCGGACAGUGUCUGGUGGGUAGUUUGACUGGGGCGGUCUCCUCCUAAAGAGUAACGGAGGAGCACGAAGGUUGGCUAAUCCUGGUCGGACAUCAGGAGGUUAGUGCAAUGGCAUAAGCCAGCUUGACUGCGAGCGUGACGGCGCGAGCAGGUGCGAAAGCAGGUCAUAGUGAUCCGGUGGUUCUGAAUGGAAGGGCCAUCGCUCAACGGAUAAAAGGUACUCCGGGGAUAACAGGCUGAUACCGCCCAAGAGUUCAUAUCGACGGCGGUGUUUGGCACCUCGAUGUCGGCUCAUCACAUCCUGGGGCUGAAGUAGGUCCCAAGGGUAUGGCUGUUCGCCAUUUAAAGUGGUACGCGAGCUGGGUUUAGAACGUCGUGAGACAGUUCGGUCCCUAUCUGCCGUGGGCGCUGGAGAACUGAGGGGGGCUGCUCCUAGUACGAGAGGACCGGAGUGGACGCAUCACUGGUGUUCGGGUUGUCAUGCCAAUGGCACUGCCCGGUAGCUAAAUGCGGAAGAGAUAAGUGCUGAAAGCAUCUAAGCACGAAACUUGCCCCGAGAUGAGUUCUCCCUGACUCCUUGAGAGUCCUGAAGGAACGUUGAAGACGACGACGUUGAUAGGCCGGGUGUGUAAGCGCAGCGAUGCGUUGAGCUAACCGGUACUAAUGAACCGUGAGGCUUAACCUUACAAC